CGGCAACAGCUCAAAUUUGAAAUCUGGCUCUUUCAGGGUCCGAGUUGUAAUUUGUAGAAGAUGCUUCGGGUGAGGCUCUGGUCUAAGUUCCUUGGAACAGGACGUCAUAGAGGGUGAGAAUCCCGUCUGGGAUGGAUGGUUGUGCCCAUGUGAAGCUCCCUCGAC
RNAcentral lists this ribosomal RNA (165 nucleotides) under Helotiaceae sp. Its description in RNAcentral is "partial large subunit ribosomal RNA". It matches the Rfam family "Eukaryotic large subunit ribosomal RNA", at positions 99 to 261 of the family's 3401-position model. Lineage: Eukaryota; Fungi; Ascomycota; Leotiomycetes; Helotiales; Helotiaceae. The record is from RNAcentral.